This 502-nucleotide ribosomal RNA is filed under the name uncultured bacterium. Its description in RNAcentral is "partial 16S ribosomal RNA". It matches the Rfam family "Bacterial small subunit ribosomal RNA", at positions 30 to 523 of the family's 1533-position model. The record is from RNAcentral.
AUUGAACGCUGGCGGCAUGCCUUACACAUGCAAGUCGAACGGCAGCACGGGUGCUUGUACCUGGUGGCGAGUGGCGAACGGGUGAGUAAUACAUCGGAACAUGUCCUGUAGUGGGGGAUAGCCCGGCGAAAGCCGGAUUAAUACCGCAUACGAUCUACGGAUGAAAGCGGGGGACCUUCGGGCCUCGCGCUAUAGGGUUGGCCGAUGGCUGAUUAGCUAGUUGGUGGGGUAAAGGCCUACCAAGGCGACGAUCAGUAGCUGGUCUGAGAGGACGACCAGCCACACUGGGACUGGGACACGGCCCAGACUCCUACGGGAGGCAGCAGUGGGGAACUUUGGACAAUGGGCGAAAGCCUGAUCCAGCAAUGCCGCGUGUGUGAAGAAGGCCUUCGGGUUGUAAAGCACUUUUGUCCGGAAAGAAAUCCUUGGCUCUAAUAUAGUCGGGGGAUGACGGUACCGGAAGAAUAAGCACCGGCUAACUACGUGCCAGCAGCCGCGGUAA